GCAUCGAUGAAGAACGCAGCGAAAUGCGAUAAGACAUGCGAAACGCAGGAUUCAGUGAGUCAUCAUAAACUUGAACGCACUUGGCGGCCUCGAGUCUCCGGGCUCUGGGCCAUAUCUGUUUGAGUGUCACUAAACCCCCCUCACAAAACUCCAAUUCUUCACAAGAGAAUCGGGUUCAAAUUGUGGUCGCUGGCCGCUGCGCUUACUCUUAGUAAGUACACCGGCUUAAGUGCAGAGGUGAGAGGCUGCUGCAUUCGCUCCUCGAACACUGACUGGGUAAGCUCCCUAUUCGGGAACAAACAUACUAAGUCAAUGUCUUUUCGUGGAUCAAAGCGAUGUGGUGCGCUUGCCCCGCAACCGUUUUCAGGCUGCCUAACGGCGCUUGAAAAAACUCCAAACCCUUUGACCUCAAAUCAGGUAAGAGUACCCGCCGAAUUUAAGCAUAUCAAUAAGCGGAGGA
This 460-nucleotide ribosomal RNA is filed under the name uncultured fungus. RNAcentral describes it as "eukaryotic LSU rRNA". The stretch from base 1 to 129 matches the Rfam family "5.8S ribosomal RNA", at positions 30 to 154 of the family's 154-position model. Lineage: Eukaryota; Fungi. The record is from RNAcentral.